This 1393-nucleotide ribosomal RNA is filed under the name metagenome. Its description in RNAcentral is "bacterial LSU rRNA". It matches the Rfam family "Bacterial large subunit ribosomal RNA", at positions 1550 to 2925 of the family's 2925-position model. The record is from RNAcentral.
AAAACUCUGAGACGUGAUACCGAGCCGCUUCAGGCGAAGUCAUUGAUCCUAUGCUGCCUAGAAAAGCCCAGCAGCGAGUUGACAUGGUGCCCGUACCCCAAACCAACACAGGUGGACAGGUAGAGCAUACCGAGGCGAGUGGGAUAACUACGGUUAAGGAACUCGGCAAAUUGCCUCCGUAACUUCGGGAGAAGGAGGACCCCAGUAGCGUGAUGAGACUUGCUCUCUGAGCGUGAAGGGGUGGCACAAAAUUGAGGGAAGCGACUGUUUACCAAAAACACAGCAGCGUGCUAAGCCGUAAGGCGCUGUAUACGCUGUGACUCCUGCCCGGUGCUGGAAGGUUACGGGGAUGGGUUAGUCCUUCGGGACGAAGCUCUGAACCUAAGCCCCAGUAAACGGCGGCCGUAACUAUAACGGUCCGAGGUAGCGAAAUUCCUUGUCGGGUAAGUUCCGACCUGCACGAAUGGAGUAACGACUUCCCUACUGUCUCAACCAUAGACCCAGCGAAAUUGAAGUACGAGUAAAGAUGCUCGUUAGCUGCAGAAGGACGGAAAGACCCCGUGGACCUUUACUAUAACUUGAUGUUGUGUUUUGUCAUAUGUUGUGUAGGAUAGGUGGGAGACUUGGAAGCAUGGACGCUAGUCUGUGUGGAGUCAUCGUUGAAAUACCACCCUGCAUAUGGUGAGGCUCUAACCUAGACCCGUUAUCCGGGUUGGGGACAGCGUCAGGCGGGUAGUUUAACUGGGGCGGUUGCCUCCUAAAGAUUGCGGAGGCGCCCAAAGGUUCCCUCAGCCUGGUAGGCAAUCAGGCGUUGAGUGCAAUGGCAAAAGGGAGCUUGACUGCGAGACCCACAAGUCGAGCAGGAGCGAAAGCUGGGCAUAGUGAUCCGGCGGUUGCGUGUGGAAGCGCCGUCGCUCAACGGAUAAAAGGUACCCCGGGGAUAACAGGCUAAUCUUGCCCAAGCGUCCAUAGCGACGGCAAGGUUUGGCACCUCGAUGUCGGCUCAUCGCAUCCUGGGGCUGAAGCAGGUCCCAAGGGUUGGGCUGUUCGCCCAUUAAAGCGGUACGCGAGCUGGGUUCAGAACGUCGUGAGACAGUUCGGUCCCUAUCCUCUGCAGCCGGAGGUGAAUUGAGGAAAGCUGUCCCUAGUACGAGAGGACCGGGACGGACGCAGCUCUCGUGUGCCAGUUGUCCUGCCAAGGGCAUGGCUGGUUAGCGACCUGCGGAAAGGAUAACCGCUGAAAGCAUCUAAGCGGGAAGCCUCUUCCAAGAUGAAUUCACCCACAGGGUUAACCUGGUAAGGCCCGUGGUAGACCACCACGUUGAUAGGCCGGAAGUGUAAGCGUGGCAACACGUUCAGCUGACCGGUACUAAUCGGCCGAGGGCUUGAGUUC